GUAAGUGCAGAGCUUGUAAAUAGUAACGCCUAUGAGUAUUCUGUCUACCCUUUACAUACAUAAGUGACCCUCCCCUUUUCACUAGAACCCCAUAAUUAUUAAAACAUAUUACAGACCAGAAUGAGUCAAGAAAAAGUAAAAUUACAUCAGAAUUUUAAGCUACAACCAAGGAGCCUAAUUCAGACUCAAGGUCUAACAAUAUGAGAUGAACCAACUUCCAGGAUCAGGUUUCCAAAGCUUUCUCUUAUUUGGGAUGUGUCAAAGUUCCUCAAGACCUCAAAUGGACUCCGGGCAGUGCUUACAACCCAAAUAUAUUGCAGAAUUAAGAUAGUGCAGUGUGGAAGAGCCAACCCUCAAAUGUCCAAGUUAGAGGGAACUCAAGGUCCCAAAGCAAGACUCAUAAGAGAGGGGCGGAACUUAGAAUCUAAGAGGGAGUGCAAGUGAAUAGAGGGGGAAUUAGGGAGAGCCAUGGUAGGCUGGUGGUCAUACCCAGCAAUUAGGAGUGCUGGCACACCCCUGGCUAGUCUGUUAGCCAAAUUUUGAGAGUUGGGAUCUAUUGAGGAUCAAGUUCAGACCUAAGUAGCAAUUUGGAUGCUGUCAGGCCAUGAACCUUAACUCAAACACAUAGAAGGGAGUAGGGGUAUGUGGAAUUCACAACAAACAUGUACAUUAGAUGAAAAGAAAGAGUAGCAUAUUCAAUACAGAACAUGAACAACAAAGUAGACAAGAGUGUAGCAACUGUAAAGUAAACACAUAGGGAUGAUGCUGAAAUCAAAAUUAAGACAUACCAGUUUCAGGGAAACAAAUAAGUGAAAGCUAAAGUCUUGUAAACCAAGUUGCAAGCAAACAGUACAAAAGAUCUCAGAAGAGAGUUGAGUAUUGAAAUUGAGAGGUGUGUGUGUAAUGUAUUAUAUUCGAAGUGUUGAACUGAAGGUUCAAGGUGUGUAAGUGCAGAAGGGUCGUGCCCCUUUUAUAGUGCAGAAGGAAAGUAAGAAAAGGUAAGAAAAUAGGUCUGCAAUCAAUCACACAAAAUCUCCCUUUAGUUAAGGGAUUCUGAUUUCAAAUGGGUAGAAGACAAUUAAGGAAAGAAUUGGAUUAAAAUCUUUUCCAAAGUAACACAAGAAGGGUAAAUACACAAGGUUUAUUUAAGGUAAAAGUCCAAUGGUGCACGGUUUGUGAAAAAAUAAGGAAAGGGAAUCACUCACACAACCAGUAAAAAAAAUCAAAAUUGCAGACUUUGUUCGAAUGAACCAAAUCAGGAAAAGGUACAGAAGGUUCAAUUAGAGAAAAUCAGUAACAAUCAAUCAAACCCUAUUAAAAGGAAUUCAAAAUCAAUCAAUAGUUGGCAUAACCCUUUUGAAAGAAGAAUUUCUCAUAUAUUUAUGUGAAUACCAGAGGGGAUUGUCAAAUUACUUAGAAAAGAGUCUAACAUAGAAAGGUUCAGAAUCAUAGGCAAAGGGACACAAGUCUAGUUUGCCGGCUCACAAUGAGUCUGAGAGUCCAGGGCCACAAAGUGGAACCCUAACUCGCACACAAAAGAUCAAAAUUGCCAGGAAAUCCCCAAAUCUUAGGGUUCCAAAUUAAGUCAGCCGAUAGAGAUGAGAAGGCAAGCCACUCGAUAGAGGCUCAGGAGUCUUUUCCAAAGACUUAUGAGAAACAAACAAACAUGAUACACAGUCAAGAGCAUGAAAAACACGUUUUGAGAAAAACUCAGAACUUAAACAGGUUCUUAGGUAAAAACAGAUGAAUCAUGCUUAGUAAGAACAUAAACAUAGUCCAGUAAAGCAAACAACAUCAAAGAACUCACAUUAAACACAUAUAGUAGAAGAGUAAGGAAAACAUAACACGGAUUAACAUGCGAGUACAGGAGAAAAGAAAGUAGAAGAACAAUACAGGCAUAGUAAAAGAAGUCAUACGAGCAUAACAAAGACAAACACACAUAAAGAAAAAACAGAAAGAAUCAGAAAGAUAUUUUGAAGAAACCUUUUAGAAACCCUAAAUCGAAAUUAAACGAUUUUGAAAAGAGAAUUUGGGGAAAAAGUUCAGUAGACCACAGACAUAUUCCAGAUCUAAGAAAAUAAGCAAGUAAAGAACCUCAGAGAGCUUAGGGUUUCAGAGAAACCCUAGAAAUGAGAAAGGGUUGGAAGAAGGUCCGAUCUUGAGUCGGAUAAGUUAGAAUCAGGCUCCUAAUGCUUGAAUAUGCCGUAGCAUGGCCGGAGAAGCCAUAGAACUGUAGAUUUGAGAGGAUCUGAAGGAGAACCAUCGGGGUCAGGCCUCGAAGCUUCGAACAACCAUGGUUUGAUGGUGGGGGGGGGGAGUACCAACCAUCCAUGGCCUGAGAAGCCAUGGAUUCCGGUGAAAAUAUGGUAGAAUAAGGUGGGAGAUGGCUAGGGUUUCAGAGAGCUUGAGAGUGUUUUGAGAGACGAAGGUUUUCAAGGCGGCGGGUCAGGUGAGAAUGAGGGAGAUUAGGGUAGUCGUUUAGGUUUAAUUAGGAAAGGGCGAG
This 2503-nucleotide long non-coding RNA is filed under the name Nicotiana tabacum (common tobacco). RNAcentral describes it as "long non-coding RNA (NTAB_LNC003763)". Lineage: Eukaryota; Viridiplantae; Streptophyta; Magnoliopsida; Solanales; Solanaceae. The record is from RNAcentral.